Felis catus (domestic cat) is the source of this 7829-nucleotide long non-coding RNA. RefSeq lists it as uncharacterized. The record is from RefSeq and is a predicted model, not a curated record. The transcript is spliced from 17 exons. Lineage: Eukaryota; Metazoa; Chordata; Mammalia; Carnivora; Felidae.
AUUGGUUCCCCAUCGGGAAUGAGCCAUAGCUAGGGCAAGGGUUUGAUCCAGGGAUGGGACGUAAGCAAGGCCGAAGGAACAACAAUCCCUUUACCUACAUGGAGGGCUGAAUGAGGGUUCAUGCACGGAUGUGGGUCACGUGUAGGGUUAGCGUUAGACUUAGGGUGAGGUUCCGAUUGAGGAGUAUGGAGUGGGUCAUGAUUAGGGUGAGGGAUAGCUCCAAGGAGUCCCCAGGUGAUGAACCCCAUGCAGUGCAGUGGUCUCCUGGGAGGGCUCAGUGGAGGGCACACGGGAGGGUGCUGGUCAGGUUUAGUCUUUGGUUACCAGUGCCAGCCUUGCAUGUGGGCCACUUUCGGGCCUCAGCAAGCACUUUGGCACCUCCCUCUGGUAUUUGGACAUGACAUGGUGGUGGUCCACGCUCCAUGUGGAGUAAUCCUGCACCGCUUCUGGGCCACAGGUGCGUGAUAUUCUCUGCAUUAGGAAUUGGAUCCCCAUCGGGAUAGAGAAAUAGCUAGGGUUAGAGCUAGAUCCAGGGACAUAAGCAAGGCCAAAGCAACAACAAUCCAUUUAUCUCCAGUGAGUAUGAAUGAGGGCCAUGUGCGGUAGCUGGUCAGGUGUAGGGUUAGUGUUAGAAUUGGGGUGAGGUUUAGGUUGAGGAAUACGGCGAGGAUCAUGGUGAGGGUUAGGGGUAGGUUCCAGGAGGCGCUUAAGUGCAGAAACCUAAGUAGUGCAGUGGUCUCCUAGAGGGUUGAGUGGAGGGUGCAAAGGAUGGUGCCAUUCCUUCUUAGUCUUAGGGUGUCAAGGCCACCCUUUGGUGUAGGACACUCCUUAGUUGGGCCUCAGCAGAGCCCUUGUUCAGCUCCCUCUGAGCUUUGGAAAUGACAUGCUGAUGUUCCAGGUUCCAAGCCGAGUGAUUUACACCAUGAGCCUGCUGUUGUCAGUCAUUGGAAUUGGGUUCCCAUGAGGAGGGAGAUAUAGCUAGGGUUAGGGUUCAGUGCAGGGACAUCACCAGGGCAGACUGACUCCAGUCUCGUGAAUUUCAUGGAGGGCUUAAGUGAGAAAUCUUGCGAGGGUACGGGUCUGGUAUAGAGUUAGUGUGAGAGAUAGGUUUAGGUUUAGGUUGAGGGCUAGGUUCAGGGUUCUGGUUAGGGUUGGGGUUAGGUCCCAGGAGGCUCCAGAUGCUGAACCCGCAGCAGUGCAGUGGUCUCCCUGAAGUGCUGACUGGAGUACACAAUGGAUGCUGCGGGUCAGGAUUAGUCUUUCGGUUGCCAGGCCAGACAACUCUUUCUGGCACUCUUCGGGUAAGCCUCAGGAAUGCUCUCGGGCACAACGGAGGCUGCCGGACAGGAUUAGUCUUUGGGUUCCAAGGCUAGACAAGUGUAUUGGACACUCUUUGGGGGAGACCUCAGGAAUCCUCUUAUGCAGCAGCAGCCGGGCUUUGGAAAUGACAUGGUGAUGUUCCACGUUCCACGCCGAGUGAUCCUGCACUGCUUCUCGACCCCAUGUGCAUUCUGUUGUCAGACAUUGGGAUUGGGUACCCAUGGAGAGUGAGUUUUAGCUAGGGUUAGGAUUCAGUGCAGGGAUGUGGCCAGGGCCAAAGGACUCCAGUCUCGUGAUCUCCCUCGAGGGCUGAAGUGAGGGCACAUGCGCUGGUGUGGGUCUGGUGUAGAGGUAUUGUGAGAUAUAUGGUCAGGUGAGAUUGAGGGUUAUCAUCAGGGUUAUGGUUGGGGUUAGGGUAGGUCAGAGAAGGAUCCAGGCGCUGUACCCACAGCAGUGCAAUUGUCUCCCCGAAGGGCUGAGUCAGUACACAAUGGAGGCUGCUCGUCAGAAUUAGUCUCUGGGUUCCAAGGACGGACAACUCUAUAAGGUCUGGUGUAGAUAGGUGGGUCUAGUGUGAUAGAAACUGUUAGAUUUAGGUUGAGGGUUAUGGUUAGGGUUACGGUUAGGUUUAGAGUUAGGUCCCAGGAGUCUCCAGGCAUUGAACCCACAGCAGUGCAGUCGUCUCCUGGAAAUGUUGAGCGGAGUGCACAAUGGAGGCUGCCAGUCAGGAAUAGUCUUCGGUUUCCAAGGCCAGACAACUGUAUUGGGCACUCUUCAGUUAGGCCUGUUGAAUCCUCGAGUGCAGUGGCAGCCGGGCUUUUGAAAUGACAUGAUGAUGUUCCACAUUCCACACCAAGUAUUCCUGCACUGCUUCUCAAUUCCAUGUGUGUGCUGAUGUCAGACUGUGAAUUGGGUCCCCAUGGGGAAGGAGCCUCAGCCAGGGUUAGGGCUUGGUGCAGGGAAGUCACCAGGGCCGAAGCAACUCCAGUCUAGUGAUGUCCCCCAAGGGCUGACCUGAGAUCCCAUGCGAGGGUGCGUCUCAAGUGUAGGGUUAGGGUUAGAAACAGGGUUACGAUUAGGUUGAGAGUUAUGGUUAGGGGUACAGUUAGGGUUUUCUUCGUUCCCAAGGCUCCAAGCGCUGAACCCACAGCAGUGCAGUUGCCUCCACAAAUGACUGAGUGGUAUGCACAACAAGGCUGCGGGUCAGGAUUAAUCUUUGGGUUCUAAGGACAGACAACUGUAUCUGGUCUGGUGUAGAUAGGUGUGUCUAGUGUGAGUGAUAGGGUUAGGUUUAGGUUGAGGGUUAGCAUUGGGUCCUGGUUAGCAUUAGUGUUAGGUCCCAGGAUGUUCCAGGCACUGAAACCAUAGCAGAGCAGUUGUCUCCCCAAAGGGCAGAAGGGAGUACACAAGGGAGGGUGCUGGUCAGGAUUAGUCUUUUGGUUCCAAGGCCAGACAACUGUAUGGGCCACCCAUCGUUUAGGCCUCAGGAAUCCUCUUGUGCAGCUGCAGCCACGCUUUGGAAAUACAUGGAGAUGUCCACAUUCAAUGCUGAGUGUUCCUGAACCGUUUCUGGUCCUGGUGUGUGUGCUGUUAUUAGUCUUUCGAUAUGGAUCCCCAUGGGAAGAGGGCCUUAGGUUAUAGUUUUAGAUUUAGCGGGUAGAGUUAGAGCGUUAGGAUGAGGGUUUUAGGGUUAGAAUUAGAGGCUUAGGGUUAGAGGUUUAGGGUAAGGUUAGGAUUAGUUCGGGUUAUGUUUAUGUUUACGGUUAGUUAGAGGUAGGGCUAGGGUUAGGGGAAGGGUAGGGGCAGGAUUUAGCAUUAGGGUUAUGGUUAGGGUUAGGUGUUAGGUUUAGGUGGUGGGAUUUUGUUUAGUGAUAGGGUUAGGAGUUGGGCAAGGAGUAGGUCAUGCUUGCAUCCCCACUUUGAGCGGGAAGGUGUUCAUGCGUGGACACCGCCCUCCAUGUUCAAGGGAUUGUGUUCUUGCUAUCGCCCCAGUCUCUCUACUGUAGGUUGUUCUUGCCUCGCCCAUUCCAGCUUUGCUCUGGAGUUUUUCACACCGUCACCCCACCCCCUCUCGGUAUGAUAAUAUUUCACGUUCCACCCAAUCGCUUUUGGUGCAAGGGGUGUGUUCACACAUGCGACCCUCCACACCCUCUACGUGCGAUGGUGUCACCCAUGAGCCUCACAGCUCCUUAGAUUGGGAUUACUGAUGCCAGGAUUAAAUCUGAUACUGAUGCCAGUAUUAAAUCAUGAAUAUCUAUUUUCACUUUCACAACUGAAGAAGUAGGCGUUUCUUAAGGUAAGGUUUAUGGUUAGGAUUAAUGUUAGGUGUCCGUUAAGGUUUAGGGCAUGGUGCACCCCCCUUGGUGUGGGAUGGCUUCACGAAUGUGUCCCAUCUGCUUCCCUUUAUCUGCGAUGUAGCAGUGAUAUUCCUUUUAAUUCAGAUGUUUUCCUUGGCACCUGGAUGUCUCUGAGUUAAGCGUCCCACUUCGUCUUGGUUCAUGAUCUCUCAGUUUCUGGUUUUGAGCCCCCUGGGUAGCUUCUGUGCUGAUAGCUGGGAAUCUGGAGCCUGCUUCAGAUACUAUCUGUCUCUCUCUCUCUCUCUGCCCAUGCCCCACUUGUGUUCUUUGUGCCUUUCAAAAAUUAAUGUACCUAAAAGCAUUUUCAAUCCGAUAUUUCCUGGAUGGCUCUUUUCACUUUCAUUGCUGAAGAAGCAGGCGUCUGUCUCGUUCAUUGUUCUUUUGUUAUCUUUGGCAUAGCUGACAACAUAUACGACAUUUCCCCAGCCAGCAUCGGGGAUGCGCAGCAUUUCUUCUACCAGCCGGACACCUCUCAUCCACUGUAACACUGCAUUCCUCUAGAGCAUCCCACAUGCUCUCGGAAACUGGACUGUAACUGUGGAUGGUAGCAGUGUCCCAUAGUCUUCUGAUGGUAUUUCAGGAGGUUCUUCAUUCGCAUCUUUGGUUACCUGAGUGUCUUCUGACAUCUCUCAUGUUUCCACUAGGCCGCUGCUAUGAUGCUCAACAGGGAACCUGAAGCACACUGGGAUUCAGGAGCAGACCAACUACCACUUGGCUCCCACAAAUGGUCGCCUUGGAACUCUUUAUGGAAGAGGAGAAAACACCCACCACCACCGUUUCAUAACCCUGCACCGAAUGUGGAGACAACAAUCACCCACCCCCAAAGGAAACUCUAGCAGGGUACAUGUAUCAAACCUAAGGUGUUGGUUAUGUAUUUUGGAUCAAUAAGUGAGGUUGUACUUUUGACUGGUAAGUGUACAUCUAAAUCCCUCAGAGGGGAUAUUCUCUGAGGUCACCCCAACCUAAAUUGUUGGCCCAUGGGGAGAUGUGUUGUCCCUACUGAUUGUAUUGAUGUUGUCUCUGUAGGCCAGUGAAUUAAAGCUCCAUAGGGUCUUGUCCUGUUCUUGCCUCUUCACGGGAAGGUCCAUUUCACCUAUUGAAAAAGACAGCAAGGGAGUAGUGUUGGCACUAUUAAAUCUGACGUUUCAUGAAUGAGUCUUUUCACUUUCAUGGCUGAAGAAGCAGCAUCUCUUAUGAUGAGGGUUAGGGUUUGGAUUAUCCUGAGGAUUAGGCUGAAGAAGCAGGCAUUUCUUAAGCUGAAGAAGCAUGCAUCUCUUAAGGUCAGGGGUAGGGUUAGCAUUACAGUUAGGGGUUAAGAUAAGAGCUAGGUCAUGCUUGCUCUCCCCACUCAGCACGGGAAGACUUCACGCAUCACCCCACUAUCCUGAGCAAGGGAGAGUGUUCACCUUUUCACCCCAAUCCCUGAGAGUGGUAAAAUAUUGAAGCACGUGCUCCACUCCACUUCCUUUGGGGAGGGCUUUCACACAUGCGUAGAUCCCCCCUUCAGGACAGAUUGUUCACAUAUGUGCAUGACCACCUGUCGGGUCGGGAGGGUGUUCACUCAUGGGCACACCCCACCUCUGCAUGGGAGAUGGUUCAUGCAUGUGUCUUGCUCACCUCUGCAGGGAGGGUUUUUACGCAUGUGCACAGCCCCACCUUGGUGUGGGAGGAGGUCACCCAUGCAGAGCGCCACCCUUCAAUGAGGGAAUAGUGAUGCCAUUAUUAAAUGUGAUGUUUCAUGAAUGGUUCUUUUCAAUUUCACAGCUGAAGUAGCAGACAACUCUUAAGCUGAAGAAGCAUGCAUCACUUAAGCUGAAGAAACGCGGCCAGGGAGGGCGUUGACGUAUGCUCCCCGCUCCCCUCGCCAGGAUGCUGUUCACGCAUGUGCAAAGUCCCCCCUCCUUGCCAAAGGGGGUUCAAGCAUGCCCACAACCCCCGCUCUCUGAAGAAACACACAUCUCUUAAGGCUUGCAUCUUCCCUCUACCUCUAUACUCCAAGUUCCUGGCUGGCACUGGAAUUACAUCUUUAGCACGGACAUCAUAACCUCCAGGUGAGAUUCAGGCUUGUUUCCGGGAAGAAACCCUGACAGAAAUUCAGAAGAACAGGAGCUGCAUUCCGUUAGGACAUGAAUACAUGAAAUACUCGUCUUGGGAACUCCUAGAAGAAUGAGCUGGGACCCACUUUCCGAGUCCUGCUAGAACCAGUGACCGAGAAAAUAAAAACGCCCUGGAAGACAAGUGUAAUGCAUUGAGGUCUGUGAAAGCCACAAAGGAAGCAAAAGUCAAACAGCUGAAAGAGAAAGCACAUAACCUGGAAGAAUUCUAUGAUCAAAGAAAAAGUGCCUACAAAAAAGAAGCUUUAAAUGACACUGUGAGCUGGAGGCAAAGAAGAAUCAGCUAGCAGCUGCAGAUCUCAAGUAGUGACCAGACUGUGUGGAAACUUUGUCCAUGCUAACAUUCCUCGGGGGUGGUGUCAAUUGUCGUCAUCUGUAGGAAAGCAGUGUGUCGUACAAUGAAUCAUACCCAUCAACGUGGUAGUGCCAUUUCAUGGCCCUCGUCUUUGCAACCCUGGGAAACAUGGCAACAAAUUGAACAAACACGGGAACAGCUGCAGCAGGCAGAGCUCACCUUUAGAUACCAGUUCAUGAGAAGAAUGCUCAGGACAACUAGGGAUGACGCCUGCACUGUUAGUUGUCUAGUAGACGACGUGGUGUUGCAACUCUUAUAGAAGUCCAUUAUUUUUCUGUAUCCAAGACUGGAUGGGAUGGAACCAAAGAGGCUGCCUGAGGGAUACACGAGGCAGAAACCAAUCACUGCAAGAACCCUCCAAGGAGAGGGCAGUCUGGAUCCUGGGGACCUCCUCCGUUAACUGGACGAUUCUGCAUGCCCUACCCUGGAGACACCCUGCCCCCAUGGACUAUUAGGCACAUACACACCUGAACCUUGGCAGCCCUGGGGCCACCCGGAACCCCUCCACCUGCAACACUUGGCUAUUUUGUAUGCAAGAGGGCCUGGUCCUUUCCCAGGAUUGCCUUGCAGGCUGUACCCCGCGGACCACCCUUCACCAGCAGUCAUGGGCUAUAGGCCACAUCCCCCUCCUCCACCUACUCUAUUUUUUAAGAUGACCUGAACCGGCUGAGUGACUGGACAACUCUUUUGAAAUUUGAAGAGGACUAUGCAUGGUGACAGACUAUCAUGUUUGUAUAUACAUUUUAAGAAAGUGUCAGAUCUACCUGAAUGCUUUCCAUGCCCAUCCUGUCCCCUCCACUUUGUCCUUCCUACUGUCCCCUAAUCUACCUUUCAUCGUUUUGUCUCUGUGUCAGCGUCUGCUUCUAGGGCCAUCUACUCUCGCUCCCCAUUGAGUGCACACACUGGGGUUCCUGUACACACAGGAAACAAAGUGCCAGAAAUGGUGGUGAGGGAGGAUAGAAGCAAGAUCACCCUUUGUGCAGGGGAGCCCGAGGGAGUUUUCCGGGGUGAUGGGAACUACAUAUAUCUAGAUUGAUGGCGUGCUUAUGCUCAAUGAUUUUGGAAAUAUUCCCUGACUCCAUGGUGCCUUGGGAUCAGACACGUAUCUGUCCUUAGGAAAUGGCUGAGAUCUAGUGGUGGAGAAGGAUGAGGGACCAGCAGUGACUGUAGAGAGGAGUGAGGGUCAGACCCACGCCCAGGAUGCCAGGUCCCCACAGACAGCACCACGUGUAGAAGGACUCUGAGGAGCAGAGAUUUCUUGAUCAGACCCAUGGACUACAUAAUCCUCCUGUAGUUUCCUCACUGAGCAAUGGCUAGAGCAGAGGCCAGCAGCUGGAGGACACCCUGAUCAUGGCUGGAGUGGAGCAGUGGGCCUGGGGGAUUGAGUCAGGGAAAGGGCCAGGCAGAAGGUAGUGACAGGGAGUUUGAGAGACAAACGGAAGAGAAGAGAAGGGACCCUUCUCUGCUGACUUCACCUACAUUUCUCUGUGACCAAAACGAGACCCUUGUCUCCCAGGGAAGGGAAGAGGGCUGACAAAACACCGAGUGACAUACUCAGCUCAAGUGUCCAUGGUAUCUGCCUUGCUCUUGAGUACCUAACACAGGAAGCACGUGUUUUCUGUCAUGAUUGGAACUGCAGCUCGUACCAUUUAGUGAAAAUCAAUCCAAUUAUGCAUCCCUCAG